This 71-nucleotide transfer RNA is filed under the name Camelus bactrianus (Bactrian camel). It matches the Rfam family "tRNA". From Rfam's summary of the family: Transfer RNA (tRNA) molecules are approximately 80 nucleotides in length. Their secondary structure includes four short double-helical elements and three loops (D, anti-codon, and T loops). Lineage: Eukaryota; Metazoa; Chordata; Mammalia; Artiodactyla; Camelidae. RNAcentral also lists the same sequence under 2 other names. The record is from Rfam by way of RNAcentral.
GAGGGUAUAGCUCAGUUUAGAGUGUGUGCUUAGCAUGCACGAGGUCCUGGGUUCGAUCCCCAGUACUUCCA